GGCAGCCCCUUCAGGAAGUGGACGCUGUCCAGCGCAGCUCAGACCCACCGGCUGCGGCGACUGCGGGGCCCAGCCAAGUGCCGCGAGUGCGAAGCCUUCAUGGUCAGCGGGACGGAGUGUGAGGAGUGCUUUCUGACCUGCCACAAGCGCUGCCUGGAGACUCUCCUGAUCCUCUGUGGACACAGGCGGCUCCCAGCCCGGACAUCCCUCUUUGGGGUUGAUUUCCUGCAGCUACCCAGGGACUUCCCGGAGGAGGUACCCUUUGUGGUCACGAAGUGCACGGCUGAGAUAGAACACCGCGCCCUGGAUGUGCAGGGCAUUUACCGGGUCAGCGGGUCCCGGGUCCGUGUGGAGCGGCUGUGCCAGGCUUUCGAGAAUGGCCGAGCGUUGGUGGAGCUGUCGGGGAACUCGCCUCAUGACGUCUCGAGUGUCCUCAAGCGAUUUCUUCAAGAGGGUGGCUGCACGGUUUAUGGAAAACAAGAUGUCUGCCAACAACCUGGGCAUUGUGUUUGGGCCAACACUGCUGCGGCCGC
Molecule: small RNA, 533 nt
Filed under: Pongo abelii (Sumatran orangutan)
Lineage: Eukaryota; Metazoa; Chordata; Mammalia; Primates; Hominidae
Description: processed transcript
Source: RNAcentral